This 435-nucleotide ribosomal RNA is filed under the name uncultured fungus. RNAcentral describes it as "eukaryotic LSU rRNA". It matches the Rfam family "Eukaryotic large subunit ribosomal RNA", at positions 1 to 432 of the family's 3401-position model. Lineage: Eukaryota; Fungi. The record is from RNAcentral.
GAUCUGAAAUCAGGUAGGGCUACCCGCUGAACUUAAGCAUAUCAAUAAGCGGAGGAAAAGAAACUAACAAGGAUUCCCCUAGUAACGGCGAGUGAAGCGGGAAGAGCUCAAAUUUAAAAUCUAGUUUGCUUGCAAACUCGAGUUGUAGUCUGAAGAAACGUUUUCCAUGAAAGCUGAGGCACAAGUCCUUUGGAACAGGGCAUCAUAGAGGGUGAGAAUCCCGUCCAUGGUCUCAAGUCUUUCAUUUUGUGAUACGUUUUCUAAGAGUCAGGUUGUUUGGGAAUGCAGCCUAAAAUGGGUGGUAAAUUUCAUCUAAAGCUAAAUAUUGGCGAGAGACCGAUAGCGAACAAGUACCGUGAGGGAAAGAUGAAAAGAACUUUGAAAAGAGAGUUAAAAAGUACGUGAAAUUGUUGAAAGGGAACCGUUUGAAGCCAG